RNAcentral lists this ribosomal RNA (1398 nucleotides) under uncultured bacterium. RNAcentral describes it as "16S ribosomal RNA". It matches the Rfam family "Bacterial small subunit ribosomal RNA". The record is from RNAcentral.
UUAGAGUUUGAUCCUGGCUCAGGAUGAACGCUAGCGGCAGGCUUAACACAUGCAAGUCGAGGGGCAGCGAGAUCAGUGCUUGCACUGAUUGUCGGCGACCGGCGCACGGGUGCGUAACGCGUAUGCAACCUACCCAUUACAGGGGGAUAACACUGAGAAAUCGGUACUAAUACCCCAUAACAUCCAGGGAGGCAUCUUCUUGGGUUGAAAACUCCGGUGGUAAUGGAUGGGCAUGCGUUGUAUUAGUUAGUUGGUGGGGUAACGGCUCACCAAGACAACGAUACAUAGGGGGACUGAGAGGUUAACCCCCCACAUUGGUACUGAGACACGGACCAAACUCCUACGGGAGGCAGCAGUGAGGAAUAUUGGUCAAUGGACGCAAGUCUGAACCAGCCAUGCCGCGUGCAGGAAGACGGCUCUAUGAGUUGUAAACUGCUUUUGUACGAGGGUAAACGCAGAUACGCGUAUCUGUCUGAAAGUAUCGUACGAAUAAGGAUCGGCUAACUCCGUGCCAGCAGCCGCGGUAAUACGGAGGAUUCAAGCGUUAUCCGGAUUUAUUGGGUUUAAAGGGUGCGUAGGCGGUCGGAUAAGUUAGAGGUGAAAUCCCGGGGCUCAACUUCGGAAUUGCCUCUGAUACUGUUCGGCUAGAGAGUAGUUGCGGUAGGCGGAAUGUAAGGUGUAGCGGUGAAAUGCUUAGAGAUCAUACAGAACACCGAUUGCGAAGGCAGCUUACCAAGCUACUUCUGACGUUGAGGCACGAAAGCGUGGGGAGCAAACAGGAUUAGAUACCCUGGUAGUCCACGCAGUAAACGAUGAUAACUCGUUGUCGGCGAUACAGUGUCGGUGACUAAGCGGAAGCGAUAAGUUAUCCACCUGGGGAGUACGUUCGCAAGAAUGAAACUCAAAGGAAUUGACGGGGGCCCGCACAAGCGGAGGAACAUGUGGUUUAAUUCGAUGAUACGUGAGGAACCUUACCCGGGCUUGAAAGUUAGUGACGGAUCUUGAAAGAGGUCUUCCCUUCGGGGCACGAAACUAGGUGCUGCAUGGUUGUCGUCAGCUCGUGCCGUGAGGUGUCGGGUUAAGUCCCAUAACGAGCGCAACCCCUACCGUUAGUUGCCAGCAGGUCAAGCUGGGCACUCUGACGGGACUGCCGGUGUAAGCCGAGAGGAAGGUGGGGAUGACGUCAAAUCAGCACGGCCCUUACGUCCGGGGCUACACACGUGUUACAAUGGCAGGUACAGAGGGCAGCUACCCAGCGAUGGGAUGCGAAUCUCGAAAGCCUGUCUCAGUUCGGAUUGGAGGCUGAAACCCGCCUCCAUGAAGUUGGAUUCGCUAGUAAUCGCGCAUCAGCCAUGGCGCGGUGAAUACGUUCCCGGGCCUUGUACACACCGCCCGUCA